CCUACGGGAGGCAGCAGUCGAGAAUCAUUCACAAUGGGGGAAACCCUGAUGGUGCGACGCCGCGUGGGGGAAUGAAGGUCUUCGGAUUGUAAACCCCUGUCAUGUGGGAGCAAAUUAAAAAGAUAGUACCACAAGAGGAAGAGACGGCUAACGCGGUGCCAGCAGCCGCGGUAAUACAGAGGUCUCAAGCGUUGUUCGGAAUCACUGGGCGUAAAGCGUGCGUAGGCUGUUUCGUAAGUCGGGUGUGAAAGGCGGGGGCUCAACCCGCGGACGGCACAUGAUACUGCGAGACUAGAGUAAGUGAGGGGGAACCGGAAUUCUCGGUGUAGCAGUGAAAUGCGUAGAUAUCGAGAGGAACACUCGUGGCGAAGGCGGGUUCCUGGACAUUAACUGACGCUGAGGCACGAAGGCGAGGGGAGCGAAAGGGAUUAGAUACCCUUGUAGUC
RNAcentral lists this ribosomal RNA (446 nucleotides) under uncultured bacterium. RNAcentral's name for it is "partial 16S ribosomal RNA". It matches the Rfam family "Bacterial small subunit ribosomal RNA", at positions 338 to 795 of the family's 1533-position model. The record is from RNAcentral.